CUGAAUGCACACUGCUGGGGAAACUAAGAGACCCUGAGAGCUGAGAGCCUUGUCUCUACCCUCUGACCAAAUAGUGGAAUGGAGCUUCAGGGCACAUAAGACACUGCCGGCAGGCUUUCUGAAAGAACCUUCCACUCUGCUCCUCCUUAACUGCCCCUCUUUGGGGUGAUGGGGACUCCUGCUUCUACUCAAGUCCCAUGUGGCCCCCUUCAGCUGGCCCCCACCUGCCUCUUCUGCAUCAGCACUUGGGCAGGUGGCAUGCCCCUGCAUUCUUGAGGGACUGUGGCAGAAGCUGUCUUGCUCUCUGGUGGAUUCAGCUUGGUAGCCCAUUUUAUUAUUUUUUUAAAAUUUGUUUUAGAAGUGGGGUACAGGCCAGAGUCAUGGGGGUUGAAAAGAUUCACCAGAGACAGAGCGGGUAGCAGAACAGGCAGAUGGACAGAAACACACUGCUGAGGGGCAGCAGUGGGCAACACAGGAGAGGUCUGCCGCACCCUGUGGGUAGCUCCCUGCCAGCUGGGGCUCGAACUCGCACCCCAAAGGUUGCGGAUAGCUUCAGAGCACUGCACUCAACCUGCUGUACCACCAGGGAGGCCCCAGGUGGAGGGUUCGCAGGACGUGAUAGGGCAGGAAACACAGGAGGAAGAUGAUCAAGGCAAUGAUGAUGGUGGUCAAUGCCUUCCUGUGAGAAACCCGCAGCCCUGAUUCUGGGACCUCCACCUUUAGCAAGGCUCGGAUGAUUAGCAGAGCCAUUUUUCAGAAGUAUUGCUGGAGAUACCAUCAUAAGGAACCAUAUGAUUC
Long non-coding RNA from Talpa occidentalis (Iberian mole), 798 nucleotides. RefSeq lists it as uncharacterized. Lineage: Eukaryota; Metazoa; Chordata; Mammalia; Eulipotyphla; Talpidae. The transcript is spliced from 3 exons. The record is from RefSeq and is a predicted model, not a curated record.